GAUGAACGCUGGCGGCGUGCUUAACACAUGCAAGUCGAACGGAAAGGCCAGUGCUUGCACUGGUGCUCGAGUGGCGAACGGGUGAGUAACACGUGGGUGAUCUGCCCUGCACUUUGGGAUAAGCCUGGGAAACUGGGUCUAAUACCAGAUAGGACCAUGCUUUGGAUGGUGUGGUGGAAAGUUUUUUCGGUGUGGGAUGAGCUUGCGGCCUAUCAGCUUGUUGGUGGGGUAAUGGCCUACCAAGGCGUCGACGGGUAGCCGGCCUGAGAGGGUGUACGGCCACAUUGGGACUGAGAUACGGCCCAGACUCCUACGGGAGGCAGCUGUGGGGAAUAUUGCACAAUGGGCGCAAGCCUGAUGCAGCGACGCCGCGUGGGGGAUGACGGCCUUCGGGUUGUAAACUCCUUUCGCAACUGACGAAGCUUUUUGUGACGGCAGGUUGAGAAGAAGCACCGGCUAACUACGUG
RNAcentral lists this ribosomal RNA (467 nucleotides) under uncultured bacterium. RNAcentral's name for it is "partial 16S ribosomal RNA". It matches the Rfam family "Bacterial small subunit ribosomal RNA", at positions 28 to 507 of the family's 1533-position model. The record is from RNAcentral.